RNAcentral lists this non-coding RNA (101 nucleotides) under Paeniglutamicibacter gangotriensis. RNAcentral describes it as "Arthrobacter gangotriensis TPP sequence". It matches the Rfam family "TPP riboswitch aptamer (THI element)". Rfam says of the family: Vitamin B(1) in its active form thiamin pyrophosphate (TPP) is an essential coenzyme that is synthesised by coupling of pyrimidine and thiazole moieties in bacteria. The previously detected thiamin-regulatory element, thi box was extended, resulting in a new, highly conserved RNA secondary structure, the THI element, which is widely distributed in eubacteria and also occurs in some archaea. Analysis of operon structures identified a large number of new candidate thiamin-regulated genes, mostly transporters, in various prokaryotic organisms. Lineage: Bacteria; Bacillati; Actinomycetota; Actinomycetes; Micrococcales; Micrococcaceae. The record is from RNAcentral. RNAcentral also lists the same sequence under 1 other name.
GGUAGUGACACGGGGUGUCGGCGCGCAUGCGGCCGGCUGAGAUAAGACCCGUAGAACCUGAUCUAGUUCGUACUAGCGGAGGGAUGUUGCUUCAUGGAAUC